GGUUAAGCGACUAAGCGUACACGGUGGAUGCCCUGGCAGUCAGAGGCGAUGAAGGACGUGCUAAUCUGCGAAAAGCGUCGGUAAGGUGAUAUGAACCGUUAUAACCGGCGAUGUCCGAAUGGGGAAACCCAGUGCAAUUCGUUGCACUAUCGUUAACUGAAUACAUAGGUUAACGAGGCGAACCGGGGGAACUGAAACAUCUAAGUACCCCGAGGAAAAAAAAUCAACCGAGAUUCCCCCAGUAGCGGCGAGCGAACGGGGAGCAGCCCAGAGUCUGAAUCAGCUUGUGUGUUAGUGGAACGGUCUGGAAAGUCCGACGGUACAGGGUGAUAGUCCCGUACACCAAAAUGCACAGGCUGUGAACUCGAAGAGUAGGGCGGGACACGUGGUAUCCUGUCUGAAUAUGGGGGGACCAUCCUCCAAGGCUAAAUACUCCUGACUGACCGAUAGUGAACCAGUACCGUGAGGGAAAGGCGAAAAGAACCCCGGCGAGGGGAGUGAAAAAGAACCUGAAACCGUGUACGUACAAGCAGUGGGAGCACCUUCGGGUGUGACUGCGUACCUUUUGUAUAAUGGGUCAGCGACUUAUAUUCUGUAGCAAGGUUAACCGUAUAGGGGAGCCGCAGGGAAACCGAGUCUUAACUGGGCGUUAAGUUGCAGGGUAUAGACCCGAAACCCGGUGAUCUAGCCAUGGGCAGGUUGAAGGUUGGGUAACACUAACUGGAGGACCGAACCGACUAAUGUUGAAAAAUUAGCGGAUGACUUGUGGCUGGGGGUGAAAGGCCAAUCAAACCGGGAGAUAGCUGGUUCUCCCCGAAAGCUAUUUAGGUAGCGCCUCGUGAACUCAUCUUCGGGGGUAGAGCACUGUUUCGGCUAGGGGGUCAUCCCGACUUACCAACCCGAUGCAAACUACGAAUACCGAAGAAUGUUAUCACGGGAGACACACGGCGGGUGCUAACGUCCGUCGUGAAGAGGGAAACAACCCAGACCGCCAGCUAAGGUCCCAAAGUCAUGGUUAAGUGGGAAACGAUGUGGGAAGGCACAGACAGCCAGGAUGUUGGCUUAGAAGCAGCCAUCAUUUAAAGAAAGCGUAAUAGCUCACUGGUCGAGUCGGCCUGCGCGGAAGAUGUAACGGGGCUAAACCAUGCACCGAAGCUGCGGCAGCGACACUAUGUGUUGUUGGGUAGGGGAGCGUUCUGUAAGCCUGCGAAGGUGUGCUGUGAGGCAUGCUGGAGGUAUCAGAAGUGCGAAUGCUGACAUAAGUAACGAUAAAGCGGGUGAAAAGCCCGCUCGCCGGAAGACCAAGGGUUCCUGUCCAACGUUAAUCGGGGCAGGGUGAGUCGACCCCUAAGGCGAGGCCGAAAGGCGUAGUCGAUGGGAAACAGGUUAAUAUUCCUGUACUUGGUGUUACUGCGAAGGGGGGACGGAGAAGGCUAUGUUAGCCGGGCGACGGUUGUCCCGGUUUAAGCAUGUAGGCUGGUUAUCCAGGCAAAUCCGGAUAAUCAAGGCUGAGGUGUGAUGACGAGGCACUACGGUGCUGAAGUAACAAAUGCCCUGCUUCCAGGAAAAGCCUCUAAGCAUCAGGUAACAUCAAAUCGUACCCCAAACCGACACAGGUGGUCAGGUAGAGAAUACCAAGGCGCUUGAGAGAACUCGGGUGAAGGAACUAGGCAAAAUGGUGCCGUAACUUCGGGAGAAGGCACGCUGGUGUGUAGGUGAAGUCCCUGCGGAUGGAGCUGAGACCAGUCGAAGAUACCAGCUGGCUGCAACUGUUUAUUAAAAACACAGCACUGUGCAAACACGAAAGUGGACGUAUACGGUGUGACGCCUGCCCGGUGCCGGAAGGUUAAUUGAUGGGGUUAUCCGUAAGGAGAAGCUCUUGAUCGAAGCCCCGGUAAACGGCGGCCGUAACUAUAACGGUCCUAAGGUAGCGAAAUUCCUUGUCGGGUAAGUUCCGACCUGCACGAAUGGCGUAAUGAUGGCCAGGCUGUCUCCACCCGAGACUCAGUGAAAUUGAACUCGCUGUGAAGAUGCAGUGUACCCGCGGCAAGACGGAAAGACCCCGUGAACCUUUACUAUAGCUUGACACUGAACAUUGAGCCUUGAUGUGUAGGAUAGGUGGGAGGCUUUGAAGCGUGGACGCCAGUCUGCGUGGAGCCAACCUUGAAAUACCACCCUUUAAUGUUUGAUGUUCUAACGUUGGCCCCUUACCGGGGUUGCGGACAGUGUCUGGUGGGUAGUUUGACUGGGGCGGUCUCCUCCCAAAGCGUAACGGAGGAGCACGAAGGUUAGCUAAUCCUGGUCGGACAUCAGGAGGUUAGUGCAAUGGCAUAAGCUAGCUUGACUGCGAGCGUGACGGCGCGAGCAGGUGCGAAAGCAGGUCAUAGUGAUCCGGUGGUUCUGAAUGGAAGGGCCAUCGCUCAACGGAUAAAAGGUACUCCGGGGAUAACAGGCUGAUACCGCCCAAGAGUUCAUAUCGACGGCGGUGUUUGGCACCUCGAUGUCGGCUCAUCACAUCCUGGGGCUGAAGUAGGUCCCAAGGGUAUGGCUGUUCGCCAUUUAAAGUGGUACGCGAGCUGGGUUUAGAACGUCGUGAGACAGUUCGGUCCCUAUCUGCCGUGGGCGCUGGAGAAUUGAGGGGGGCUGCUCCUAGUACGAGAGGACCGGAGUGGACGCAUCACUGGUGUUCGGGUUGUCAUGCCAAUGGCACUGCCCGGUAGCUAAAUGCGGAAGAGAUAAGUGCUGAAAGCAUCUAAGCACGAAACUUGCCCCGAGAUGAGUUCUCCCUGAGACUUUAAGUCUCCUGAAGGAACGUUGAAGACGACGACGUUGAUAGGCCGGGUGUGUAAGCGCAGCGAUGCGUUGAGCUAACCGGUACUAAUGAACCGUGAGGCUUAACCUU
This 2902-nucleotide ribosomal RNA is filed under the name Klebsiella pneumoniae. Its description in RNAcentral is "23S ribosomal RNA". It matches the Rfam family "Bacterial large subunit ribosomal RNA". The record is from RNAcentral. Lineage: Bacteria; Pseudomonadati; Pseudomonadota; Gammaproteobacteria; Enterobacterales; Enterobacteriaceae.